UUUUAACCAAGAAUUCUUGUU
RNAcentral lists this non-coding RNA (21 nucleotides) under Caenorhabditis elegans. The record is from RNAcentral. Lineage: Eukaryota; Metazoa; Nematoda; Chromadorea; Rhabditida; Rhabditidae.